GGACUACUAGGGUAUCUAAUCCUGUUUGAUACCCACACUUUCGUGCCUCAGUGUCAGAUGUGCCCCAGUAUGCUGCCUACGCUAUCGGGGUUCUUCGUAAUAUCUAUGCAUUUCACCGCUACACUACGAAUUCCGCAUACCUUGUCCAAUCUCAAGUUCAGCAGUUUCAACGGCAAUUUCCCUGUUAAGCAGGAACAUUUCACCGCUGACUUACUAAACCACCUACGCACCCUUUAAACCCAAUAAAUCCGGAUAACGCUCGCAUCCUCCGUAUUACCGCGGCGGCUGGCAC
This 292-nucleotide ribosomal RNA is filed under the name uncultured Bacteroidota bacterium. RNAcentral describes it as "uncultured Bacteroidetes bacterium partial 16S ribosomal RNA". The record is from RNAcentral. Lineage: Bacteria; Pseudomonadati; Bacteroidota.